CCGCGGUGCAUUAGCUAGUUGGUAGGUAAGGCUACCAAGGCGAUGAUGCAUAGCCGAGUUGAGAGACUGAUCGGCCACAUUGGGACUGAGACACGGCCCAAACUCCUACGGGAGGCAGCAGUAGGGAAUCUUCCACAAUGGACGCAAGUCUGAUGGAGCAACGCCGCGUGAGUGAAGAAGGUUUCGGCUCGUAAAGCUCUGUUGUUGGUGAAGAAGGACAGGGGUAGUAACUGACCUUUGUUUGACGGUAAUCAAUUAGAAAGUCACGGCUAACUACGUGCCAGCAGCCGCGGUAAAU
Molecule: ribosomal RNA, 298 nt
Filed under: uncultured Lactobacillus sp.
Lineage: Bacteria; Bacillati; Bacillota; Bacilli; Lactobacillales; Lactobacillaceae
Description: partial 16S ribosomal RNA
Rfam family: Bacterial small subunit ribosomal RNA
Source: RNAcentral